CUCCGCCCCAGGAAGUCCCGCCCUCAGCCAGGGGCCGGGCCCGGGCCGAGCCCGCCGCGAUCACGCCUCCGGCCGCCAUCUUUGUGCCGGGCAGCGCCCCACGCCGCCAUCUUUGAGUGGGGCGCUCCGUCCGUUCAUCGGACAGGAGGAAAGAAAUGUGAAUUCCCGACUCCUUCGGCCCUUCAACAAACACGACGUCAGAGGGACGUUUGGAGUAUGCUCGUCGCCUCCUGGGUUUGACAAACGUUGUGCGACAACAAAUGGAAAUAGAAAGCAAAAAAACUACCAUGCAGUGUUAUUCCAACUCAUCAAAAAACGUUGCAGAGAAGCAUAACUAUGUACAAAACAUCAAAGAAAGUGUUAUACCACGACGAGCUGUAAUUCAGAGACACCAGGUGUGAACGCUUACCCAGCUGACCCGAAUAAAGGCACCCGCCAAAGAAAGGAUGUGCAGUGAGGUGGGGUGGUAAUGUAGCUGUGUUGCAACCAGAGGUGAAGGCCCCAGGUGCACCACGAAAGGUUCCAGCCUGUCCAUGUACCGAAGAAUGAGAACAAAAUGGGGGAGAAAAAUGGGACUUGUGUACUCUGAGGCAAAUACACACCCACCAAACAG
Molecule: long non-coding RNA, 613 nt
Organism: Numida meleagris (helmeted guineafowl)
Lineage: Eukaryota; Metazoa; Chordata; Aves; Galliformes; Numididae
Exons: 2
Source: RefSeq, a predicted model, not a curated record